Molecule: ribosomal RNA, 253 nt
Filed under: uncultured bacterium
Lineage: Bacteria
Also listed under: 1 other name
Description: partial 16S ribosomal RNA
Rfam family: Bacterial small subunit ribosomal RNA
Source: RNAcentral
UACGUAGGGUGCGAGCGUUAAUCGGAAUUACUGGGCGUAAAGCGUGCGCAGGCGGUUCGUGAUGUCUGAUGUGAAAGCCCCGGGCUCAACCUGGGAAUGGCAUUGGAAACUAGCGGGCUGGAGUGUGGCAGAGGGGGGUGGAAUUCCACGUGUAGCAGUGAAAUGCGUAGAGAUGUGGAGGAACACCGAUGGCGAAGGCAGCCCCCUGGGCUAACACUGACGCUCAUGCACGAAAGCGUGGGGAGCAAACAGG